This 566-nucleotide ribosomal RNA is filed under the name Kregervanrija pseudodelftensis. RNAcentral's name for it is "eukaryotic LSU rRNA". It matches the Rfam family "Eukaryotic large subunit ribosomal RNA", at positions 62 to 648 of the family's 3401-position model. The record is from RNAcentral. Lineage: Eukaryota; Fungi; Ascomycota; Pichiomycetes; Pichiales; Pichiaceae.
AAACCAACAGGGAUUGCCUCAGUAGCGGCGAGUGAAGCGGCAAAAGCUCAAAUUUGAAAUCUGGUAGUUCUGCUACCCGAGUUGUAAUUUGUAGAAGACUGUCUUUGUAAGGGUGCCUGUCUAAGUUCCUUGGAACAGGACGUCGCAGAGGGUGAGAAUCCCGUGUGAUGGGUGGCCCGAACUUUUAAGACGUUUUCGAAGAGUCGAGUUGUUUGGGAAUGCAGCUCUAAGUGGGUGGUAAAUUCCAUCUAAAGCUAAAUAUUGGCGAGAGACCGAUAGCGAACAAGUACAGUGAUGGAAAGAUGAAAAGAACUUUGAAAAGAGAGUGAAACAGUACGUGAAAUUGUUGAAAGGGAAGGGUAUUUGAUCCGACAUGGGAUUUACUCAUCAUUGCUCCUUGUGGGUGGUGCUCUGGGUUUUUUCUGGGCCAGAAUCAGUUUGUGUGGCAGGAUAAAGGCUUGGGGAAGUAACUCUUCUGGAGUAAUAUAACCCUUGUUAAUGCUGCCUAUGCGGACUGAGGAAUGCGGUAUUUUACCAAGGAUUCUGGCAUAACGAUUAAAUACCGC